Molecule: ribosomal RNA, 520 nt
Filed under: uncultured Glomeromycotina
Lineage: Eukaryota; Fungi; Glomeromycota
Description: SSU rRNA
Rfam family: Eukaryotic small subunit ribosomal RNA
Source: RNAcentral
AGCAGCCGCGGUAAUUCCAGCUCCAAUAGCGUAUAUUAAAGUUGUUGCAGUUAAAAAGCUCGUAGUUGAAUUUCGGAAUCUGUCCGUCGGUCGGGCUUCAUUGUCCGUACUGGCGUGGUGGGUUCUUACCUUCUGAAUAACCAGCAUGCCAUUCACUUGGUGCGCUGGGGAAGCAGGACUAUUACCUUGAAAAAAUUAGAGUGCUCAAAGCAGGCUAGUGCCUGAAUAUAUUAGCAUGGAAUAAUAAAAUAGGACGGCAUGGUUCUAUUUUGUGGUUUCUAGGAUCACCGUAAUGAUUAAUAGGGAUAGUUGGGGGCAUUAGUAUUCAAUUGUCAGAGGUGAAAUUCUUGGAUUUAUUGAAGACUAACUUCUGCGAAAGCAUUUGCCAAGGAUGUUUUCAUUAAUCAAGAACGAAAGUUAGGGGAUCGAAGACGAUCAGGUACCGUCGUAGUCUUAACCAUAAACUAUGCCGACUAGGGAUCGGACGAUGUUAAUUUUUAAUGACUCGUUCGGCGCCUUA